Molecule: ribosomal RNA, 381 nt
Filed under: uncultured bacterium
Lineage: Bacteria
Description: bacterial SSU rRNA
Rfam family: Bacterial small subunit ribosomal RNA
Source: RNAcentral
GAUGAACGCUGGCGGCGUGCAUAACACAUUCAAGUCGAACGAAGCAGCAAUGCUUAGUGGCGGACGGGUGAGUAACGCGUGAGCAACCUGCCUCGGAUUGUGGAAUAACACAGGGAAACUUGUGCUAAUACCGCAUAACAAGUGGACCUCGCAUGAGGACUUCUUCAAAAGAGUAGCGAUACUUGAUCUGAGAUGGGCUCGCGUCCGAUUAGAUAGUUGGUAAGGUAACGGCUUACCAAGUCUGCGAUCGGUAGCCGGACUGAGAGGUCGAAACGGCCACAUUGGAACUGAGAUACGGUCCAGACUCCUACGGGAGGCAGCAGUGGGGAAUAUUGGGCAAAUGGGCGAAAAGCCUGACCCAGCGACGCCGCGUGAGGGAAG